Phragmites australis (common reed) is the source of this 918-nucleotide long non-coding RNA. RefSeq lists it as uncharacterized. The record is from RefSeq and is a predicted model, not a curated record. Lineage: Eukaryota; Viridiplantae; Streptophyta; Magnoliopsida; Poales; Poaceae. The transcript is spliced from 2 exons.
AAUCUUUGCUUUGGCUGGGCCGUCUUCUGGUUGGGCCCAUGUGGUUGUGCCCUAAAGAGCUUCGGCCAAGCAGAUGAGGGGAAAAACAGAAAAAGGAAAUAAAAUCCCCUCCGAGGGAGGCGGCUGCGGCGGCUGAAACCCUAUCUCCGCCAUUCUCGCUGUGCAGCUCGGCGAGGGGGUGUUCUGGGCGUGUGCUGGCCGUCUGAUGGUGGGGAUGGAGAGGGUCUCGCAUAGGAUUCGGAGGCAGUUGCUCUGCGCCGUGAGUUCCUCGUCGCCUUCUUCUCUUUUUAUCUCCCGAGCCUUGACUUGGAUUUGGAGAAGCAGAGAACAAAAGGCAUCUCUCACUUUGGUUUCCCCUUUUCCUCUCGGUGAUUUGUGCUUUGCGGUUGAGAGCUUGGACUCCAAUCGUGGCCUUGGCCUAAGCACUUGCAGCACGGGAGGUCUCUUGUUGGUGCUCGGAGCUACGCUGCCGAGGUUCGUCCGCACUACAGAGGUGGUGCGGCUGAGGUAUUGUAUCUCCGUCUUCCUCCAUCCGACGAUAUAGCCGGGUGAUUGGAUUUCUGGGACUGCAGCUCUUGCUGUGCCUUGCCUCACUCUUCAGCCCUUCCAGCAUACUCACUUGAUAAGAUCACCAUGUUCUGAUUAGGAGAAGUCUGAACUCAUGUGUGCUGAUUUAGAUUGAGAAAUCUAUCACUGCUUAUUACAUCUUAUUCCUGGUUCUGAGCAGCAAGUACUUUUGAAUUCAGCAAAUUGUGGAGUUUUUCAUCACUUAGUUGCCUGAUAUAGAAUCCAGUGUAUGUUCUGUCCCUUGUGCAGAAAGAUUUUAACCUUCCGGGAUUAGUUCUGUGAAGGUUCUGUGUUGGCCAUGUUCUGAAUUCUGAGUUUCAGUAAAGAUCCUUUUGGAGGCCAUGUGCUGAA